AUGAACGCUAGCGGCAGGCCUAACACAUGCAAGUCGAGGGGCAGCACAGGUAGCAAUACUGGGUGGCGACCGGCGGAUGGGUGCGUAACGCGUAUGCAACCUACCAUUGAUUGGGACAUAGCCCGAAGAAAUUCGGAUUAAUACUCCAUAAUAUUCAUCAAAGGCAUCUUUUAUGAAUUAAAGCUUUUGCGAUCAAUGAUGGGCAUGCGUGACAUUAGUUAGUUGGUGAGGUAACGGCUCACCAAAACGAUGAUGUCUAGGGGUUCUGAGAGGAUUAUCCCCCACACUGGUACUGAGACACGGACCAGACUCCUACGGGAGGCAGCAGUGAGGAAUAUUGGUCAAUGGACGCAAGUCUGAACCAGCCAUGCCGCGUGCAGGAUGACGGCCCUAUGGGUUGUAAACUGCUUUUCCACGGGAAGAACCCUCCGACGUGUCGGAGACUGACGGUACCGUGGGAAUAAGCAUCGGCUAACUCCGUG
RNAcentral lists this ribosomal RNA (482 nucleotides) under uncultured bacterium. RNAcentral's name for it is "bacterial SSU rRNA". It matches the Rfam family "Bacterial small subunit ribosomal RNA", at positions 29 to 507 of the family's 1533-position model. The record is from RNAcentral.